This 465-nucleotide ribosomal RNA is filed under the name uncultured bacterium. Its description in RNAcentral is "partial 16S ribosomal RNA". It matches the Rfam family "Bacterial small subunit ribosomal RNA", at positions 339 to 795 of the family's 1533-position model. The record is from RNAcentral.
CUACGGGGUGCUGCAGUGAGGAAUAUUGCACAAUGGGGGAAACCCUGACGCAGCAACGCCGCGUGAGUGAUGAAGGCCUUCGGGUCGUAAAACUCUGUCAAGUGGGAAGAACCUAUGUAAGGUUAAUACCCUUAUGUACUGACGGUACCACUGAAGGAAGCACCGGCUAACUCCGUGCCAGCAGCCGCGGUAAUACGGAGGGUGCAAGCGUUAUUCGGAAUUAUUGGGCGUAAAGGGCGCGCAGGCGGUUUUGUAAGUCAGAUGUGAAAGCCCGGGGCUUAACCUCGGAAGUGCAUUUGAUACUGCAAGACUUGAGUAUGGGAGGGGGAAGUGGAAUUCCUGGUGUAGAGGUGAAAUUCGUAGAUAUCAGGAGGAACACCAGUGGCGAAGGCGACUUCCUGGACCAAUACUGACGCUGAGGCGCGAAGGCGUGGGGAGCAAACAGGAUUAGAUACCCCCGUAGUC